ACACUGCAGGGUUAAAACUACAGUGGUCCUUUAAAUAAUAUAUGCAUCAUAUAUAAGAACUGUCAAAUAAAUAAAUGAAAUUUGUGAGGGACCACCAGGUUAACUAGUACUAGUACAUGUUUCCCCAACUUCCACCCCUCCAUGGGUCUGCUGAGUCACGGUGCGCCUGACCAGGAGCAGCCCUGAAACGGAUCACAAUUUCCUAAGACUUCAAUGAGGGCGCUCUUGGUCCCUGGACCAGCUAUCAGGGCGCCUUUUGGAGGGGUAAUGGAGGGAGUGGUGAGGCAUCGAAAGACACCAGGGACUUGGGAGAGCUCCAUGUUCCCACGGAAAGCGGUCAUUUUAGGUGACUGGGAAAUACUACUCAGCUCAUGGAACCCCACGCUGGAUCAAGGGCUAGCGACCAGCUAAAACUUGGACUUCUACGUAACUCGGGCUAGCCACACCCAAUCCGGUAGCUUUUUUGACUAAGUGGGUGCUCUGAUCAAUGCUUCCUGGGGACACUGGUUGUGUGGGGAUAUGGGCAGGGGAACAAAGUUAUAUUGUAUUUUCUGCACCAGUGCCAAGUUGUCUGGUCACUAAUUAAAUUACCAACUCAGGAACAGACACCAGGGAUGUUGCAAUUAACCCCAGGUAUAAAAAGCGAUGUUUUCCCAAUAAACACUGUGCAGCACUGACCCAGGAAGCACCUCUAGUGGCCUGUGGUCUGGCACCAAGAGGUGUUCCUGGGCUGUAAUGUAAAUAGUAAGCUGUAGUUGUUAUAGUGUCUCUUUAAGUGUGUAAAAUAUAUGUUUGUUCAGCUUACAUUUGUUUUCCUUAAUAGAUGACACCAGUGGUAUCAUAACCUAUGAUAGCCUUACAUUAUUGUUUUGUUAUAUUUUAUUUAUUUCUAAUCUCAUAUGUAACAUGCUGUUCUGCUCACCUUCUGACCAUAGCCUGAUUACAAAUGCUACUUGCUUAUUGCACACCCACUAUAUGUCUAAGCUACCAUGUCUCAGCUGUAUGAAUAUGUGAUUUUACCCUGUGCCUUAAUUAAAAAAAAUUGACAAUCGGAAGGAUGACUAUUAAACUUUUUUUCCCCCUGCAAUCUAUAUU
This is a non-coding RNA of Pelobates cultripes (western spadefoot toad), 1095 nucleotides long. NCBI's taxonomy places the organism in Eukaryota, Metazoa, Chordata, Amphibia, Anura, Pelobatidae. The record is from the annotation of a GenBank genome assembly.